Long non-coding RNA from Chionomys nivalis (European snow vole), 660 nucleotides. RefSeq lists it as uncharacterized. The transcript has 3 exons. NCBI's taxonomy places the organism in Eukaryota, Metazoa, Chordata, Mammalia, Rodentia, Cricetidae. The record is from RefSeq and is a predicted model, not a curated record.
UGGUGGCCACGCUCAGGGCAGACAGCUCCGGCUUUCAAGAAAGCCAGCCUUACCGGAGAUGUGGCCUCACAGAUCAGGGGGCUCUGACCUCAUUUCCCAGCAAGGAGCCUGAGUUCUAAGGGAGCAAGUAUCCUCUCUACCAUCACUCAUACAGUCUCCCUGCCGCCCUCCCUGCUGGGCCGGGCCUCCCUGCAAGCCUCGUGGCCCCCGCUCGGUGCGGGCCUGCUGCUGCUGCUGCUGCACAGCCCGCCCAGCCUUGGACUGCGCCGGCCUCCAGAAGUGAUAGCUAAUUGGGGAGAGAAAGAGCCCGAUUGUCUGCGGCAGCCGGAAAGGCCAGGAGGAGGCGGCCGCUUCGCCCUGCAGCUGCCACCGCCGGAGAUGUUUGGGGAUUACGUCAGCCUGGCGGGCAGGGGCCGCGGGGACAGCGCGGGAGGCGGGCUCCCGCAGGCCUCCCGCCGCCAGGGCCUCUGGACAAUGCUGCCAUUGUCGGUGCACGGAGUGCUUAGCUCCCCAUGAAUGGUGCACGGCCCCUUGACCAAGGAGGCCGCCUGUAGCCCCAACUGUCCCCUCACAGGCAGGGAGGCCCCGUGCGGUGGGAAGGACUGUUUGUGGACUCCACGGGUCUGUCCCUCAGAAGGGGCCACCGGCAGGAAAAGCAGA